UACGAAGGGGGCUAGCGUUGCUCGGAAUCACUGGGCGUAAAAGGUGCGUAGGCGGGUCUUUAAGUCAGGGGUGAAAUCCUGGAGCUCAACUCCAGAACUGCCUUUGAUACUGAAGAUCUUGAGUUCGGGAGAGGUGAGUGGAACUGCGAGUGUAGAGGUGAAAUUCGUAGAUAUUGGGAAGAACACCAGUGGCGAAGGCGGCUAACUGGUCCGGAUCUGACGCUGAGGUGCGAAAGCGUGGGGAGCAAACAGG
Molecule: ribosomal RNA, 253 nt
Filed under: uncultured bacterium
Lineage: Bacteria
Description: partial 16S ribosomal RNA
Rfam family: Bacterial small subunit ribosomal RNA
Source: RNAcentral